GAUGAACGCUGGCGGCGUGCCUAAUACAUGCAAGUCGAGCGAACGGACGAGAAGCUUGCUUCUCUGAUGUUAGCGGCGGACGGGUGAGUAACACGUGGAUAACCUACCUAUAAGACUGGGAUAACUUCGGGAAACCGUAGCUAAUACCGGAUAAUAUUUUGAACCGCAUGGUUCAAAAGUGAAAGACGGUCUUGCUGUCACUUAUAGAUGGAUCCGCGCUGCAUUAGCUAGUUGGUAAGGUAACGGCUUACCAAGGCAACGAUGCAUAGCCGACCUGAUAGGGUGAUCGGCCACACUGGAACUGAGACACGGUCCAGACUCCUACGGGAGGCAGCAGUAGGGAAUCUUCCGCAAUGGGCGAAAGCCUGACGGAGCAACGCCGCGUGAGUGAUGAAGGUCUUCGGAUCGUAAAACUCUGUUAUUAGGGAAGAACAUAUGUGUAAGUAACUGUGCACAUCUUGACGGUACCUAAUCAGAAAGCCACGGCUAACUACGUG
RNAcentral lists this ribosomal RNA (497 nucleotides) under uncultured bacterium. RNAcentral describes it as "partial 16S ribosomal RNA". It matches the Rfam family "Bacterial small subunit ribosomal RNA", at positions 28 to 507 of the family's 1533-position model. The record is from RNAcentral.